AGGUGGAAACCCUGAAGGGAGAGCGGGCCGUCACACAGCACCUGCUUCAGGAGAGCGAGCGGAUGGAGGCCAGCGUCAGCCAGUGGGUCAAGGAGCAGAAGCAAGUGAAUGAGAAGCUGGGCCACAAGAUCCAGGACCAGAUCAAACAACUGGCUCAGCUGACUGGCGAGAGAGACCACCUCCAGGGAGUGACGGAAAGACUCCAGCAGGAGAAUAAGCGGCUGAGAAGCCAAGUGGAGGAGCUG
Molecule: long non-coding RNA, 245 nt
Organism: Heteronotia binoei (common prickly gecko)
Lineage: Eukaryota; Metazoa; Chordata; Lepidosauria; Squamata; Gekkonidae
Exons: 3
Source: RefSeq, a predicted model, not a curated record